RNAcentral lists this ribosomal RNA (439 nucleotides) under uncultured bacterium. RNAcentral describes it as "bacterial SSU rRNA". It matches the Rfam family "Bacterial small subunit ribosomal RNA", at positions 958 to 1398 of the family's 1533-position model. The record is from RNAcentral.
AACGCGAAGAACCUUACCUGGGUUUGACAUCCCCGGACCGCCCUAGAGAUAGGGUUUUCUCUUCGGAGACCGGGAGACAGGUGCUGCAUGGCUGUCGUCAGCUCGUAUCGUGAGAUGUCGGGUUAAGUCCCUUAACGAGCGCAACCCUUAUCCUUAGUUGCCAUCAUUUAGUUGGGCACUCUAGGGAGACCGCCGGUGUUAAACCGGAGGAAGGUGGGGACGACGUCAAGUCCUCAUGGCCUUUAUGUCCAGGGCUACACACGUGCUACAAUGGCCGGUACAGAGGGUCGCCAACCCGCAAGGGGGAGCUAAUCUCAGAAAGCCGGUCUCAGUUCGAAUUGAAGUCUGCAACUCGACUUCAUGAAGCUGGAAUCGCUAGUAAUCGCGGAUCAGAACGCCGCGGUGAAUACGUUCCCGGGCCUUGUACACACCGUAGUAC